AGUGAACGCUGGCGGUAGGCCUAACACAUGCAAGUCGAACGGCAGCACAGUAAGAGCUUGCUCUUACGGGUGGCGAGUGGCGGACGGGUGAGGAAUACAUCGGAAUCUACUUUUUCGUGGGGGAGAACGUAGGGAAACUUACGCUAAUACCGCAUGCGACCUACGGGUGAAAGCAGGGGAUCUUCGGACCUUGCGCGAUUGAAUGAGCCGAUGUCGGAUUAGCUAGUUGGCGGGGUAAAGGCCCACCAAGGCGACGAUCCGUAGCUGGUCUGAGAGGAUGAUCAGCCACACUGGAACUGAGACACGGUCCAGACUCCUACGGGAGGCAGCAGUGGGGAAUAUUGGACAAUGGGCGCAAGCCUGAUCCAGCCAUACCGCGUGGGUGAAGAAGGCCUUCGGGUUGUAAAGCCCUUUUGUUGGGAAAGAAAAGCAGCAGGUUAAUACCCCGCUGUUCUGACGGUACCCAAAGAAUAAGCACCGGCUAACUUCGUG
RNAcentral lists this ribosomal RNA (492 nucleotides) under uncultured bacterium. RNAcentral describes it as "partial 16S ribosomal RNA". It matches the Rfam family "Bacterial small subunit ribosomal RNA", at positions 29 to 507 of the family's 1533-position model. The record is from RNAcentral.